GUCUUCGUAGCUCAGUGGAGAGAGCGCCAGGUUGCGGACCUGAAGGUCGCUGGUUCGAGUCCAGCCGAGGACA
Molecule: transfer RNA, 73 nt
Filed under: Dactylosporangium aurantiacum
Lineage: Bacteria; Bacillati; Actinomycetota; Actinomycetes; Micromonosporales; Micromonosporaceae
Also listed under: 2 other names
Description: tRNA-Arg
Rfam family: tRNA
About the family: Transfer RNA (tRNA) molecules are approximately 80 nucleotides in length.
Source: RNAcentral